RNAcentral lists this long non-coding RNA (1059 nucleotides) under Nicotiana tabacum (common tobacco). RNAcentral describes it as "long non-coding RNA (NTAB_LNC005902)". Lineage: Eukaryota; Viridiplantae; Streptophyta; Magnoliopsida; Solanales; Solanaceae. The record is from RNAcentral.
AAACGAACAAAAUUUUCUGCCCCAGUUUCACUAGGGAAAUUUCGUGAGUUAUUUGCCAGGAAGUUCAUAGAAUUGAUGAAGGAAUUGGAUCGACGAUAUUGCCACAAGGUAAGAAUACUCAGUUUAGGGUUGGAGCCCUAAGGCUGGCGGAAUGGAAAUAGUUCAGUUCAGGGUUGGAGCCCUAAUGCUGACUAGCUGGGGAGAAGCUCAGUUUAGAGUUGAAACCCUAAUGCUGACCAACUGGGGAAAAGUUCAGUUUAGGGUUGGGGCCCUAAUGCUGAUUAAGGAAAAGUUCAGUUUAGGGUUUAAAACCCUAAUGCUGACUAAAGGAAAAGAGUUCAGUUUAGGGUUUAAAACCCUAAUGCUGACUAAAGGAAAAGAGUUCAGUUUAGGGUUUAAAACCCUAAUGCUGACUGAAGGAAAAGAGUUCAGUUUAGGGUUUAAAACCCUAAUGCUGACUAAAGGAAAGAGUUAAGAUUAGGGUUUAAAACCAUAAUGUUGACUGAAGAAAAGAGUUCAGUUUAGGGUUUAAAACCCUAAUGCUGACUGAAGGGAAAAAGUUCAGUUUAGGGUUUAAAACCCUAAUGCUGACUAAAUGGAAAAAGUUCAGUAUAGGGGUUUUUAAAAACCCCUAAUGCUGACUGAAUGGGGAAAAAAGUUUAGUUUAGGGUUUAAAACCCUAAUGCUGACUAAAGGAAAAAAGUUCAGUUUAGGGUUUAAAACCCUAAUGCUGACUAAAGGGAAAAAGUUCAGUUUAGGGUUUAAAACCCUAAUGCUGACUGAAGGAAAAGUUCAGUUUAGGGUUUAAAACCCUAAUGCUGACUGAAAGGAAAGAGUUCAGUUUAGGGUUUAAAACCCUAAUGCUGAUUGCAUGGAAAAGCUCAGUUUAGGGUUUAAAAACCUAACGCUGGCUAAAUGGAAAAAUGUUCAGUUUAGGGUUUAAAACCCUAAUGCUGAUUGCAUGGAAAAGCUCAGUUUAGGGUUUAAAGCCCUAAUGCUGGCUGAAUGGAAAAAAGUUCAGUUUAAGGUUUAAAACCCUAUUGCUGAUUGCAUGGAAAA